Molecule: long non-coding RNA, 222 nt
Organism: Myotis lucifugus (little brown bat)
Lineage: Eukaryota; Metazoa; Chordata; Mammalia; Chiroptera; Vespertilionidae
Exons: 4
Source: RefSeq, a predicted model, not a curated record
GAAUUACGUAAAGAUUCAUUUGAAGGCCUGGUUUCCCUCCAGUAUUUGGACUUGUCCUGCAAUAAGAUAGAAUUUAUUGAAAAGAAUGCAUUUGAUUCAUUACCUCUUUUACAAUAUAUAAAUCUUGGUUGCAAUUUAAUCACAAAAGUGAACUUUGGAACAUUUCAGACCUGGCAUGGAAUGCAGCUGUUACACAAGUUAAUUCUACAUGAAAAUCCUCUG